Molecule: ribosomal RNA, 253 nt
Filed under: uncultured bacterium
Lineage: Bacteria
Description: partial 16S ribosomal RNA
Rfam family: Bacterial small subunit ribosomal RNA
Source: RNAcentral
UACGUAGGGGGCUAGCGUUGUCCGGAUUUAUUGGGCGUAAAGAGCGUGUAGGCGGCCAGGUAGGUCUGGUGUGAAAACUCGAGGCUUAACCUCGAGAUGUCAUCGGAAACCAUUUGGCUAGAGUCCGGAAGAGGAGAGUGGAAUUCCUGGUGUAGCGGUGAAAUGCGCAGAUAUCAGGAAGAACACCGGUGGCGAAGGCGGAUCUCUGGGCCUUACCUGACGCUCAGGCGCGAAAGCUAGGGGAGCGAACUGG